AAACUGAAUUAUUGCUACACUGGUUCAGCUGCAAAGCUUUUUACAGUCUCCUCACAAGGGACUAACAAAAUCACUCCGGUUAUUGGCACCAAGCACUAAAUCAGCCACCUCAAAUGGAGCAUUUUCUACCUCUGACAACUGGGAAAUGUGAAGCAAAAAGUAAAACCGCAAAGUUUUCAAGAGCAAAGUUCCCAGGUAGCCAGUUUGAAAACCUUCUUCUAAAAGAUGCUGUCAACAACAGCUGCCAACACCAAUCCUCCCAAAAUCAGACCUCUGUGGGGGUCAUCUCUGAAUAUUUUCUUCAGCAGGACAAGCCAGAAGCAGAGGCAAUAAAAAUCUGUCAGCCUUGGCACAUUUAUCCCAAGUUCACAGCACAGGGAGACCAGAGGGACUGAGAACAGGUCUGCUCCUGGAC
Molecule: non-coding RNA, 415 nt
Organism: Sturnus vulgaris (Common starling)
Lineage: Eukaryota; Metazoa; Chordata; Aves; Passeriformes; Sturnidae
Source: RefSeq, a predicted model, not a curated record